GGAAUGAACUUAGCGGAUUAGUGGCGAACGGGUGAGUAACACGUGAGUAACCUGCUUACACAAGGGGAUAGCCUUUGGAAACGAAGAAUAAUACCCUAUAACGUCAAAUUAUCGCAUGAUAGAAUGACCAAAGAUUUAUCGGUGUAAGAUGGACUCGCGUCUGAUUAGCUAGUUCGGUGGGGUAACAGCCUACCAAGGCAACGAUCAGUAGCCGGCUUGAGAGAGUGUACGGCCACAUUGGGACUGAGACACGGCCCAGACUCCUACGGGAGGCAGCAGUGGGGAAUUUUGCACAAUGGGGGCAACCCUGAUGCAGCGACGCCGCGUGAUUUAGAAGGCCUUCGGGUUGUAAAAAUCUUUUGUAUGGGAAGAAAAUGACAGUACCAUACGAAUAAGGACCGGCUAAUUACGUGCCAGCAGCCGCGGUAAUACGUAAGGUCCGAGCGUUGUCCGGAAUCAUUGGGCGUAAAGGGUACGUAGGCGGAUAAGCAAGUUAGAAGUGAAAUCCUAUAGCUCAACUAUAGUAAGCUUUUAAAACUGCUCAUCUUGAGGUAUGGAAGGGAAAGUGGAAUUCCUAGUGUAGCGGUGAAAUGCGCAGAUAUUAGGAGGAAUACCGGUGGCGAAGGCGACUUUCUGGCCAUAAACUGACGCUGAGGUACGAAAGCGUGGGUAGCAAACAGGAUUAGAUACCCUGGUAGUCCACGCCGUAAACGAUGAGUGUUAGGUGUCUGGAAUAAUCUGGGUGCCGCAGCUAACGCAAUAAACACUCCGCCUGGGGAGUACGCACGCAAGU
RNAcentral lists this ribosomal RNA (793 nucleotides) under uncultured Clostridia bacterium. RNAcentral describes it as "bacterial SSU rRNA". It matches the Rfam family "Bacterial small subunit ribosomal RNA", at positions 75 to 893 of the family's 1533-position model. The record is from RNAcentral. Lineage: Bacteria; Bacillati; Bacillota; Clostridia.